UGAACGCUGGCGGCGUGCUUAACACAUGCAAGUCGAACGAUGAUGCCAGCUUGCUGGUGGAUUAGUGGCGAACGGGUGAGUAACACGUGAGUAACCUGCCCUUAACUCUGGGAUAAGCCUGGGAAACUGGGUCUAAUACCGGAUAUGACUCCUCAUCGCAUGGUGGGGGGUGGAAAGCUUUAUUGUGGUUUUGGAUGGACUCGCGGCCUAUCAGCUUGUUGGUGAGGUAAUGGCUCACCAAGGCGACGACGGGUAGCCGGCCUGAGAGGGUGACCGGCCACACUGGGACUGAGACACGGCCCAGACUCCUACGGGAGGCAGCAGUGGGGAAUAUUGCACAAUGGGCGAAAGCCUGAUGCAGCGACGCCGCGUGAGGGAUGACGGCCUUCGGGUUGUAAACCUCUUUCAGUAGGGAAGAAGCGAAAGUGACGGUACCUGCAGAAGAAGCGCCGGCUAACUAC
This 461-nucleotide ribosomal RNA is filed under the name uncultured bacterium. RNAcentral describes it as "bacterial SSU rRNA". It matches the Rfam family "Bacterial small subunit ribosomal RNA", at positions 30 to 504 of the family's 1533-position model. The record is from RNAcentral.